Molecule: ribosomal RNA, 425 nt
Filed under: uncultured Acidobacterium sp.
Lineage: Bacteria; Pseudomonadati; Acidobacteriota; Terriglobia; Terriglobales; Acidobacteriaceae
Description: bacterial SSU rRNA
Rfam family: Bacterial small subunit ribosomal RNA
Source: RNAcentral
ACGCGAAGAACCUUACCCAGGCUUGAACAGCGAGUGACCAUCGACGAAAGUCGACUUCCGCAAGGACACUCGUAGAGGUGCUGCAUGGCUGUCGUCAGCUCGUGUCGUGAGAUGUUGGGUUAAGUCCCGCAACGAGCGCAACCCUUGUUUGCUGUUGCCAUCAGGUUAUGCUGGGCACUCUGCAAAGACUGCCGGUGAUAAACCGGAGGAAGGUGGGGAUGACGUCAAGUCAGCAUGGCCUUUAUGUCUGGGGCUACACACGUGCUACAAUGGCCGAUACAAACCGUCGCGAGCCCGCAAGGGGGAGCUAAUCGGAGAAAGUCGGUCUCAGUUCGGAUAGCAGGCUGCAACUCGCCUGCUUGAAGUUGGAAUCGCUAGUAAUCGCGGAUCAGCACGCCGUGGUGAAUACGUUCCCGGGCCUUGUA